Molecule: ribosomal RNA, 1281 nt
Filed under: metagenome
Description: bacterial LSU rRNA
Rfam family: Bacterial large subunit ribosomal RNA
Source: RNAcentral
CCAAAUGGAUAGAGAAUGUAAGCAGACUUCCGAGAAAAUCUUCUAAGCAUAUUGAUACGGUACCCGUACCGCAAACCGACACAGGUAGUCAAGGAGAGAAUCCUGAGGUGCUCGAGUGAGUCAUGGCUAAGGAACUAGGCAAAUUAAACCUGUAACUUCGGGAAAAGGGUUGCCUCUCUUUAGCAAUAAAGAAGGUCGCAGAGAAAUGGCCCAGGCGACUGUUUAACAAAAACACAUGGCUAUGCGAAAUCGUAAGAUGAAGUAUAUGGCCUGACGCCUGCCCGGUGCUGGAAGGUUAAGGGGGGAAGUUAGUCGCAAGGCGAAGCUUUGAACUGAAGCCCCAGUAAACGGCGGCCGUAACUAUAACGGUCCUAAGGUAGCGAAAUUCCUUGUCGGGUAAGUUCCGACCUGCACGAAUGGUGUAACGAUCUGGGCACUGUCUCAGCCAUGAGCUCGGUGAAAUUGUAGUCACGGUGAAGAUGCCGUGUACCCGUCACGUGACGGAAAGACCCCAUGCACCUUUACUAUAGCUUCGCAUUGACAUUGGGUAGAUGAUGUGUAGGAUAGGUGGGAGGCGUUGAUCCUGUGCCGCUAGGUAUAGGGGAGCCAACGGUGAAAUACCACCCUUUAUUUAUCUGAUGUCUAAUCCGCAAGACCUGCGGAGACAGUGCGUGGUGGGUAGUUUGACUGGGGUGGUCGCCUCCGAAAGUGUAUCGGAGGCUUUCAAAGGUAUGCUCAAUACGCUUGGUAACCGUAUGUGGAGUGCAAUAGCAUAAGCAUGCUUGACUGUGAGACUGACAAGUCGAGCAGGGUCGAAAGACGGAUAUAGUGAUCCGGUGGUUCUGUAUGGAAGGGCCAUCGCUCAAAGGAUAAAAGGUACGCUGGGAUAACAGGCUGAUCUCCCCCAAGAGCUCACAUCGACGGGGAGGUUUGGCACCUCGAUGUCGGCUCGUCACAUCCUGGGGCUGGAGAAGGUCCCAAGGGUUAGGCUGUUCGCCUAUUAAAGUGGCACGCGAGCUGGGUUCAGAACGUCGUGAGACAGUUCGUUCCCUAUCUGUGAUGGGCGUAGGAAGUUUGAGAGGAUCUGACCUUAGUACGAGAGGACCGGGUUGGACCAAUCGCUGGUGUACCGGUUGUGGCGUCAGCUGCAUCGCCGGGUAGCUACGUUGGGACGAGAUAAGCGCUGAAAGCAUCUAAGCGCGAAACUCACCUCAAGAUGAGACUUCCAUUAAGGGACGUCAGAGACUAUGACGUUGAUAGGCUGCAGGUGUAAAGGCAGAA